RNAcentral lists this ribosomal RNA (253 nucleotides) under uncultured bacterium. RNAcentral's name for it is "partial 16S ribosomal RNA". It matches the Rfam family "Bacterial small subunit ribosomal RNA", at positions 524 to 776 of the family's 1533-position model. The record is from RNAcentral.
UACGAAGGGGGCGAGCGUUGUUCGGAAUUACUGGGCGUAAAGGGCGCGUAGGCGGCGCGGUAAGUCGGGUGUGAAAUCUCGGAGCUUAACUCCGAAACUGCAUUCGAUACUGCCGUGCUUGAGGACUGGAGAGGAGACUGGAAUUUACGGUGUAGCGGUGAAAUGCGUAGAUAUCGUAAGGAAGACCAGUGGCGAAGGCGGGUCUCUGGACAGUUCCUGACGCUGAGGCACGAAGGUCAGGGGAGCAAACGGG